Molecule: ribosomal RNA, 253 nt
Filed under: uncultured bacterium
Lineage: Bacteria
Description: partial 16S ribosomal RNA
Rfam family: Bacterial small subunit ribosomal RNA
Source: RNAcentral
UACGGAGGGUGCAAGCGUUGUUCGGAAUCAUUGGGCGUAAAGCGCGUGUAGGCGGCUUGGUAAGUCGGGUGUGAAAUCCCGGGGCUCAACCUCGGAACUGCCUUUGAUACUGCAAAUCUCGAGUCCGAUAGAGGUGGGUGGAAUUCCUAGUGUAGAGGUGAAAUUCGUAGAUAUUAGGAAGAACACCGGUGGCGAAGGCGGCCCACUGGAUCGGUACUGACGCUGAGGUGCGAAAGCGUGGGGAGCAAACAGG